UAAGCCACAGAGAACAUUCCACUGUACAAAGUCAGCUUAUCACAAGAUUUUUUUUUUUUUUCCCCUAAAAAAAAAAAAAAAUCUUGUGAUAAGCUGACUUUGUACAGUGGAAUGUUCUCUGUGGCUUAACAAGACAUAAACAGUAGUCUUGGGAAUAUAUAUGAUAGGGCUUUUGGCUCUUG
Molecule: small RNA, 182 nt
Filed under: Marmota monax (woodchuck)
Lineage: Eukaryota; Metazoa; Chordata; Mammalia; Rodentia; Sciuridae
Source: RNAcentral